Molecule: long non-coding RNA, 942 nt
Organism: Lolium rigidum
Lineage: Eukaryota; Viridiplantae; Streptophyta; Magnoliopsida; Poales; Poaceae
Exons: 3
Source: RefSeq, a predicted model, not a curated record
CUUGUCGCCGUCGAUCUCGGCAGUGGCUGCCUCGACAAGCCGACGCCGCUAGGCGUCAAGCACGAAGUGAAUCUGACCUCAUGGAUUUGGCCUCCUGGCCUACCGGAUCAGUUUUACGGAACUCAAUUUGCUCAGCUGAUUUUUGAUGGAAUCCUGUUUGUGGGAACGGGAAUUCACCGGUGUACUGCUGUUAUGGAUGGCUGGGUGAAGUGUCCCUUUUUCUUUUAAAUGAUGCUCUGGUUGAAAUUUGGAAUAAAAGGAACAUAAAUUUAUCUGCUGAAGCCUGGCGAUAAUGAUAAAGCAAUGCUGCAACUUUCUUUGUGGUAUGACUGUCUCUGGUGAUAAUGCAUUUUAAACCCAUACAGAUUUAUAUGAUUGAACUCCGUAGUUAUAUAUAGGACAUGUUAAACACCAAAUUUGGUUCCACCUUUGAGUUUGCACUGAAGUACUUGAAUUUUUUUUAUCCUAUUGUCAAGAGUUCGAAACCUAAAUAAAAUCGAGUCAACAUGCACCUUUUAUUGUGAUGGCUCUACAUCAAUCCACUUCGGAGAAAUUGGAAAGAUCUUUGACACACCUUGGAUAUCAUGGUUCAUCUCUCACAAGCACACACAACGACUGAGCACACAUACAAAUGCCCUAUUGUCACAUUGGCAUUUUAAAUCAUUGUCAUCCACUUAAAUAAGUAUACAUAGGUUGUCUUAAAGGAGACCACUCUGCCUUUAUAUUGAAAUAGGAACCAAGAAGUGUAGAUGCAGCUGACAACAUGUUAUUGAUCUUUUCUUUGGGAGAUCACUCUUAUUACUACCUCCAUCCUUCCACGUACAUUUGUGUCCACCAAGGUUUACCACUGUGUUCCUAAUUCAGGGGGCACAAGAAACUUAAUUUUAAAUGGUAGAUAGAGGAAAGCAAUAAGCUAGACUAUAAAAGAAAUCUUAUGAGUUA